CAGGCGGAUUCUUAACUACCAGACCACCGGGGAAGCACCUACAGACCACUUUUAAACACACUGUCUUGCUUGGUUUCGCAGCUGCUCUGUAGUGAUGCUGUAGACACUUUCUUCAUAGAAGAAACCGAGGCUCAGAGGAAUCGCUCACUCAUGGCACCCGGUUACUGCGUCGCAGAUCUUGUGCUUCCACCUGGAUCCUCUGGCUCCUCUCCUGGUGACUGUAGUGGGGAACAGGUUAGGAACGUGUAGGAGGUUUUGUUCCAGAUGCUGGUGCUGGGCAGAAAGCUGGGAGCUGGCCCCAGAGACCCUGAGAGUCACUGGCAGUCAUUGACGAUGGAAGCUUUCUCAUCUCUCUGGAAAAUGCUCCUAUUUGCACAGGGGUGGAGACUGUAGAGGAUAAUUAGAGAAGUAAAGAUCAGACAACCACAAACACUGGAGGGAAAUGUGCAUGCCAGCUGGCGGGCGAGCAGUCCCAUUUUGGAAGUAAUUGGGUAGCAAUGAGAUGUUCAGAGCAAGAGCCUGCUGAGCAUCCUGUGAUGGGCGGGUGGGGGAAUGUUUUCUUGAUAUCAAAGGGGAUCUGCUUCUCUCUGCAGACUCCCUCCCAAAGGCGAGCCCAGCACUUCUGAAGCUUGGCACGAUUCUCUCCUUCCGCUUUUCCUCUCCAGUCACUACUUGGCCGACUUCUUUCCAGUUUCUUUCUCUGAAUCCCCCACUGAUCCUGAUGUAGACACUUUGUGGAGGCUGUAUAUGCCUAUAUCACUUGGAGACUGUGGGGGAGAAACAGACUUUAAACUGAUUAUGAGUUUGCACCUUCCUAACAGCAAAGGGCGGCAGAGGAUGAGAUGGUUGGAUGGCAUCACUGAUUCAAUGAGUUUGAGCANNCUCUGGGAGACAGUGAAGGACAGGGAAGCCUGGCAUGCUGCAGUCCAUAGAUGUCAUGGAGAGUCAGACAGAGCUUGGCCCCUCACAAAAACAAACAGCAAGUGAAGAGCGCAUGCCAACUGUCAGGAAUUCCAGCAGAGAACCUGCACUUCUUCACACGGGGGCUGGCAGAGACUUUGUAAAACCUCAGCAGCUCCAGACCACCCCUGCUCUAGAAGCGCCUGCUUUCCGAAGGGCCACGUGUGCCUCUGUGCACACCCACCCUGAAUUACGCGUAUGCAUUAUGCUCAGUGACUUUUGAUCACUCUCUCUCACUUUUUCCACGCUUGAGAACUCAGAUCUAAGCCACUCUUGCCUCUACCACACCUGUGAAGAUAGCCCGAAGUCUGAAGGAUCUAACAGUCCAAGAACUGGCAAACUAUGGCCUGAUGUCUAUUUUUGUAAAUAAAGCUUUACUGGGACACAGUCAAGCUCACUCAUUCUGCGUUGUUUGCGGCCGAGUUAUGUACUACAGUGGCAGAGGUGAGUGACUGUGAUGGAGACAGUAAGGUCUUCGAAGCCUAAAAUACUUAGCUUCUGGCCCUUUACAGAAGAAGUUUGCAGAACUCUGACUGUCUAUGUUCUCCAGCUGUUUCAGUGACAAUUGCAAAGUAAAGUUG
Molecule: long non-coding RNA, 1541 nt
Filed under: Capra hircus (goat)
Lineage: Eukaryota; Metazoa; Chordata; Mammalia; Artiodactyla; Bovidae
Description: lncRNA (ENSCHIG00010005036.1)
Source: RNAcentral